CAGCAGCCACGGUAAUACGGAGGGGGCUAGCGUUGUUCGGAAUUACUGGGCGUAAAGCGCACGUAGGCUGCUUUGUAAGUCUGAUGUGAAAGCCCCCGGCUCAACCGGGGAGGGUCAUUGGAAACUGGGAAACUUGAGUGCAGGAGAGGAGAGUGGAAUUCCACGUGUAGCGGUGAAAUGCGUAGAGAUGUGGAGGAACACCAGUGGCGAAGGCGACUCUCUGGUCUGUAACUGACGCUGAGGAGCGAAAGCGUGGGGAGCGAACAGGAUUAGAUACCCCUGUAGUCCCUGUCUCUUAUAC
RNAcentral lists this ribosomal RNA (301 nucleotides) under uncultured bacterium. RNAcentral describes it as "partial 16S ribosomal RNA". It matches the Rfam family "Bacterial small subunit ribosomal RNA", at positions 509 to 807 of the family's 1533-position model. The record is from RNAcentral.